RNAcentral lists this ribosomal RNA (906 nucleotides) under Salmonella enterica subsp. enterica serovar Infantis. RNAcentral's name for it is "partial 23S ribosomal RNA". Lineage: Bacteria; Pseudomonadati; Pseudomonadota; Gammaproteobacteria; Enterobacterales; Enterobacteriaceae. The record is from RNAcentral.
GGGUUGUGAGGUUAAGCGACUAAGCGUACACGGUGGAUGCCCUGGCAGUCAGAGGCGAUGAAGGRCGUGCUAAUCUGCGAUAAGCGCCGGUAAGGUGAUAUGAACCGUUAUAACCGGCGAUWYCCGAAUGGGGAAACCCAGUGUGAYUCGUCACACUAUCAUUAACUGAAUCCAUAGGUUAAUGAGGCGAACCGGGGGAACUGAAACAUCUAAGUACCCCGAGGAAAAGAAAUCAACCGAGAUUCCCCCAGUAGCGGCGAGCGAACGGGGAGGAGCCCAGAGCCUGAAUCAGCAUGUGUGUUAGUGGAAGCGUCUGGAAAGGCGCGCGAUACAGGGUGACAGCCCCGUACACAAAAGCGCAUGUGCUGUGAGCUCGAUGAGUAGGGCGGGACACGUGGUAUCCUGUCUGAAUAUGGGGGGACCAUCCUCCAAGGCUAAAUACUCCUGACUGACCGAUAGUGAACCAGUACCGUGAGGGAAAGGCGAAAAGAACCCCGGCGAGGGGAGUGAAAAAGAACCUGAAACCGUGUACGUACAAGCAGUGGGAGCACAGGUUUACCUGUGUGACUGCGUACCUUUUGUAUAAUGGGUCAGCGACUUAUAUUCUGUAGCAAGGUUAACCGAAUAGGGGAGCCGGAGGGAAACCGAGUCUUAACCGGGCGUUAAGUUGCAGGGUAUAGACCCGAAACCCGGUGAUCUAGCCAUGGGCAGGUUGAAGGUUGGGUAACACUAACUGGAGGACCGAACCGACUAAUGUUGAAAAAUUAGCGGAUGACCUGUGGCUGGGGGUGAAAGGCCAAUCAAACCGGGAGAUAGCUGGUUCUCCCCGAAAGCUAUUUAGGUAGCGCCUCGUGAAUUCAUCUCCGGGGGUAGAGCACUGUUUCGGCUAGGGGGCCAUCCCGGCUU